AUGCAAGUCGAACGGUAGCAGCAGAGAGCUUGCUCUCUGGCUGACGAGUGGCGGACGGGUGAGUAAGGCAUCGGGACCUGCCCUGUUGUGGGGGAUAACCCGGGGAAACCCGGACUAAUACCGCAUACGCCCUACGGGGGAAAGCGGGGGACUCUUCGGAGCCUCGCGCGGCAGGAUGGACCGAUGUACGAUUAGCUUGUUGGUGGGGUAACGGCCUACCAAGGCGACGAUCGUUAGCUGGUCUGAGAGGAUGAUCAGCCACACCGGGACUGAGACACGGCCCGGACUCCUACGGGAGGCAGCAGUGGGGAAUAUUGGACAAUGGGGGAAACCCUGAUCCAGCAAUGCCGCGUGUGUGAAGAAGGCCUUCGGGUUGUAAAGCACUUUUAUCGGGAACGAAACCUUGUCGGCCAAUACCCGGCAAGACUGACGGUACCCGAGGAAUAAGCACCGGCUAACUCCGUGCCAGCAGCCGCGGUAAUACGGAGGGUGCAAGCGUUGAUCGGAAUUACUGGGCGUAAAGGGUGCGUAGGUGGUGAGUUAAGUCUGAUGUGAAAGCCCCGGGCUCAACCUGGGAAUGGCAUUGGAAACUGGCUCGCUGGAGUGUGAUAGAGGAUGGCGGAAUUCCCGGUGUAGCGGUGAAAUGCGUAGAGAUCGGGAGGAACAUCAGUGGCGAAGGCGGCCAUCUGGAUCAACACUGACACUGAGGCACGAAAGCGUGGGGAGCAAACAGGAUUACAUACCCUGGUAGUCCACGCCCUAAACGAUGCGAACUGGAUGUAGGUCUCAACUCGGAGAUCUGUGUCGAAGCCAACGCGUUAAGUUCGCCGCCUG
RNAcentral lists this ribosomal RNA (834 nucleotides) under uncultured bacterium. Its description in RNAcentral is "bacterial SSU rRNA". It matches the Rfam family "Bacterial small subunit ribosomal RNA", at positions 55 to 875 of the family's 1533-position model. The record is from RNAcentral.